UAAAUCUUUCCAUAAGCGCAA
Molecule: non-coding RNA, 21 nt
Filed under: Caenorhabditis elegans
Lineage: Eukaryota; Metazoa; Nematoda; Chromadorea; Rhabditida; Rhabditidae
Source: RNAcentral